UGAGGAACAUGACCUUCGGCGGGGGAUAGCCGGCCCAACGGCCGGGUAAUACCGCGUACGACCACAUGGGGACAUCCCUGAGUGGUGAAAGCAGCAAUGCGCCGAUGGAGUGCCUCGCGGCCUAUCAGCUAGUUGGUGAGGUAACGGCUCACCAAGGCGACGACGGGUAGCUGGUCUGGAGAGGGUGACCCGGCCACACUGGGACUGAGACAUGGCCCAGACUCCUAGGGAGG
Molecule: ribosomal RNA, 233 nt
Filed under: uncultured bacterium
Lineage: Bacteria
Description: partial 16S ribosomal RNA
Rfam family: Bacterial small subunit ribosomal RNA
Source: RNAcentral